This 253-nucleotide ribosomal RNA is filed under the name uncultured bacterium. RNAcentral describes it as "partial 16S ribosomal RNA". It matches the Rfam family "Bacterial small subunit ribosomal RNA", at positions 524 to 776 of the family's 1533-position model. The record is from RNAcentral.
UACGGAGGGUGCGAGCGUUGUCCGGAAUCACUGGGCGUAAAGGGCGCGUAGGUGGCGCGAGUAGUCAACGGUGAAAGCCCGGGGCUCAACCCCGGGUCGGCCGUCGAUACUCUCGUGCUUGAGCACUGUAGAGGCAGGUGGAAUUCCGGGUGCAGCGGUGGAAUGCGUAGAGAUCCGGAAGAACACCGGUGGCGAAGGCGGCCUGCUGGGCAGUAGCUGACACUGAGGCGCGACAGCGUGGGGAGCAAACAGG